This is a long non-coding RNA of Orcinus orca (killer whale), 303 nucleotides long. RefSeq lists it as uncharacterized. Lineage: Eukaryota; Metazoa; Chordata; Mammalia; Artiodactyla; Delphinidae. The transcript has 2 exons. The record is from RefSeq and is a predicted model, not a curated record.
CCCAAAACAGUAACUUUUUAACAGUGAAAGAAACCAGACACAAGAGAGAACAUACCGUAUGAAUCCAUUUAUAUGAAGUUCAAGGACAGGCGAAACUAACCUACAGGAUGGAGGCCGAGCCACGCAGCUUGGGGGAUCUUAGUUCCCCGACCAGGGAUCGAACCCAGGUCCUCGUCAAUGUAAGCACAGAGUCCUAACCACUGGACCACCAGGGAAUUCCCAUAUGAUGAAUUUUAAGUUCUUAUUCACUUAUGUACUUGAGUACCAACUUUUUAAAAAUAAAGUGCCUCAAAACUUAAAAUG